Brassica napus (rape) is the source of this 3396-nucleotide RNA transcript. RefSeq lists it as uncharacterized. NCBI's taxonomy places the organism in Eukaryota, Viridiplantae, Streptophyta, Magnoliopsida, Brassicales, Brassicaceae. The record is from RefSeq and is a predicted model, not a curated record. The transcript has 7 exons.
UCCAACGGAUGUAUACGUGAGUGCACGGUCGAGAGCAUGAGUCAAGCUGCAGAAAGAAAAGAAAAGAUGCCUUUUGGGUAUCUCUCCGGUAAUUGUGGUUUAGAUCUCACGACGAUGUAAGUUUGAACGGUUCGGAUUUAGUGGUCCCCAAACACAGCACCUCCCGCUCCAGUCAGGUCAACAUUGGAAUCACGUAUGUAAUAUACUCAGAGUUUGUGGGCCCUGGUUUGCUUCGCACGUGCGACACAGAAACCUAUAGCCCAUAGUCUAUUGCUAGAGCCAAAGCCCUGGGCCCAUAAUAACUUCGAGCCCUACAAUGCACGUGACUGCGGGAAUCACAUUUUGUGGUAUAUCCUUUGUACAGUAUUUUUGAUGAUAUUUUCUACCAUGGUAUUUUUAUAGUUCUCUGCGUUUCUUCGAGAAGUAGCUAGCGCGCAUUAGAUGAAACUAGAAAGAAGACAAAGAAAAUCAGUUUCUUUUAUGGCGUCUUCUUGGAGAAGAAAACACACCAAAUUUGAUGUUAUAUUGGUCGAUUGGAGUUGUCUAUAGAUUGUGCAACACAUAAUCCUGGUACUCAUAUAGUCAUAUAGAAACAAUAGUACAGAAAAAUCAUCCACUAGCAGUGUUCUAAUACUUGAUGCUGAUUAGCAUGCCCCUGAGUAGGUUUAUUGCCAAUUCCUCUUCUUCUCACUCCAUAUGCCAAUUAGAAUUUUCUCUUGACCAGAUGUACGAUGAUGGGUAAUUGAGUGCUGGGCUUCCAACAGCUAAGCCCAUGUAUAUGUAGUGAAUGUAACAAAGUCCUAUUAACGAGCAGCAAAAUAUAACACGAGAUCGCGUUAAAUCUAACCUAUACUAAAAGGGAUAUAUGAGGAGUAGGGAGGCUGUCCACGUCCUCAAUUAAAAUCAGCCAAUAAGGUGAGUUUAUUUGUCCAUGUCACACUCAGUUUGGGCUUUGGUUUUUUUUAUCCGUAAUGUGAGGUAUUUGCCCAUAAGCCUGAUCCAAGAGAAGCCCUAAAAUAUGAGACGAUGAAUUCGUCUCCAUUAUUAUUUGUGGGCUCCACGUUCUGUCCGGUUUAUUUUGGUCGUAAAGGUUUGUGUUUGAUCUGAUUUGGGUUUUCCACAUUUGGUUCCAUAAUUAAGUCAAAAUUUGCGUUUUAUGCUUGAAUGGAUUAGGGCUUCAUCAUUAUCUUUCUUCUUCCCCAUUCAACUUCGCCGUCUACACUUAUCUUAAUCUGCAAACCUAAUGAUUGCAAACGUAAAGGUUGACAUCGCCAUCUCCGUACCCAACAUUUAUUCCUCUCUUUACCACCUCUUCCGGUUCCCGAUGUUGUCCCUGAAUCCACCGCUCUGUUUCGGCCGGCGAGACCACAAAACGAUCCAUGGAGGAUGCCUCUGACAUAUCAUGGGGCUGCAAUAUAGAUUCAGUCGAAAACGCCAGUUCUCUUCAGAGAUGGCUAACCAAUUCAGGCCUCCCGCCGCAGAAAAUGGUUGUCGACAGAGUCGACAUCAGAGAGAGAGAGAGGUGGGAGUCUCGGAAUGAAAUAUCAACGAACAAACACUUUCUUAAGUUAAAUUCAAAGGAAUGUGCUCAGCUUACUUCUCAGUGCGCUCAUCUACAAGACCGAACGAUGGCUCUUGCCAAGGAGCUGGCAUCACUUAAAUUGGUUUCCGACAUAAGAUUGGAGGAAGUUGAUGUGCUGAAGCUUGCUUUUUUUGAGAAUAACGCAAAAGACAAAAGAUACAAUAGACACACCGGGUUUGUUUCCUGUGAGAUUGUGGUUUCGGCCUAUAUUGGUUUGUGGUUUCGGCCUAUAUUGGUUUGUGGUUUCCUCAAGUCUCUGUUCUAUUCGUAUGGUCUCAGCCCGUGCUUAUUCAGGUUCUUUGGGAACUUGCGUUCGAUUGUCGUCUGUGUGGAGCUGGUUUUUUGGUUCUGAUAAGAAACACUUUCCCUCUUUUUAAUUAUUCUGCCUCAGUGUUGAUUUCUUCCUUUUGGUGAUUCAAAAGGUUGUCCAGUAGUGUGGAAAGGUUGUUUGUGUUUUUAUGGUCUGUAAUAAUCAUACUUCAAAUUACGUUAAUGCAAUUCAAUGAUGAACAAAAAAAAACAAUAGACACACCUGUCAAGUCCUUGGUUACUCGAAACAGGUAGGUACAUAGCUUAUGUUUUGUUACAGCUUCCCUUCUCUCAUUUUAUCAUGUAGGUACUAUUGAUGAGGUCCCCAUGACUACUACUGUGACCAAACUCCAGAAAUUCAUGCUUCUGAAGUUCAACCAUCUUCAAGCUCUUGCAAACUUUCUUUGAACUCCCUGAUAUAGUUGGCCAAAUCCGUUCAAGACUCUAACAUAAACAACUCUGUUCAAGGCUCUGACAUAAACAACUCUGCUGCAACAACCCGAUUAUGCAUGAAAGUUGGUGUCCCAAUCAUGCUGCCGCGCAACCUAAACCAAGAAGAAGGCUUGAGAAAGAGUUAUCGAAGCAGAAGUGUGUGUGCUGAUACCAAGAAACAAACUAUCACCGACAGAAAACAAACAUCUAUUCACUCUAAGAAGCCGCCAGUUUCCAGUACAUAUAUCCUGGGGAUUUUAACAUUACCAGGGUCACGUGACUAACGACAUUGCCAACAUCGUUUACAGAAAAGCCUUCAAUGGCCUCCCACAAUCACCGGUUUAGAAGAAGACUAUGAGAGUUUCGCCAACAUGGUUUCCUCUGUUUCUUUCUCUGUUCUGUCUGUAUCUGUCCAAAGAAUCAUCAAAUGGGAUCCACUGAACUACAAGACACAGAUUUCUUUAGCUCUUUUUCUGAGAACUUACACUCAACGUUCUUCACUCCAACCACAAGCUCGCUCUGAUCUGACUCGGACACGGAUUCACCAAAGCCAUAAAACGAGGAUGAAGAUCGUAGAGUUGACUCGGUAGAUGAGUAACUAUAUGAGCAUCAGAAGUCUUGUGGUGGAGACAACCUAUUAUGAUUCCUUUUCAAUCAAAAGAAGCUUUAAUCGAUGAGCAGAUCCGAUCUGUUCAGGCAAACUUCCAAAACUAGAAGGAGAAAGACGAGCAGCGAAAUGAUGAUGCAUUUAAACAUAAAGCAAGGAGCUACCACAACCAACAGAGAGACCAAAGUCCGCUGUGAAGGCGGAGUUCGUUGACGGGUCAUUCGAGAACCAGGUCAGGUGGAACUGAGUGUUCUUGCCAGGCAGGCAUGGUACUGCUGGGGAGUCACGCAAAAAAGUAGUUUCAUAUUAAUUUAGCAUUGUUACUUCUUCUUUUUUAAGUCAAUCAAGAACUCCAUUAUAAGUUUUUGUUUUGUUUUCUAUUAACGAGAUGUGGUUUUAAAGAAGGCUACAUAUUAUAUAUAAUGGACAACAGUUAAAAGAAAGAGAUGAAAUGACGUUGUCUAUA